GUCGAGUCGGGAGAAGAGCCUGAGAACGGCUACUACAUCUACGGAAGGCAGCAGGCGCGUAAAUUACCCAAUCCUGACUCAGGGAGGUGGUGACAAGAUAUAACGACCCGAUUAAUGUCGUGAUUGUAGUGAGGAUAUUCCAAACAGAAUCACAAGAACGAUUAGAGGGCAAGUCUGGUGCCAGCAGCCGCGGUAAUUCCAGCUCUAAUAGCGUAUAUUAAAGUUGCUGCAGUUAAAAAGCUCGUAGUUGGAUUUCAAGGAUUACCCAUUCCUAUGGUAUUUGUACCCUACUAGCCAGUAUUGGCUGUUACUGUGAGAAAAUUAGAGUGUUUAAAGCAGCUCAUGCAAGAAUACAUUAGCAUGGAAUAACGAAUGAGUCAUGAAUCUUGGUAACUCUGACUCGACAAAAGAGACAGAGGGGGCAUUAGUAUUUAAUUGUCAGAGGUGAAUUCUUGGACUCGUCUAUUUCUAUCUGUAUGCGAAAGCAUUUGCCAGGAUGUUUCAUCACUCACCACCGAACCAUACGGGAUCAAGACAUCAGAUACUGUCGUAGUCCUAUCUAUAACUAUGCGACUAGGAUUGAUGCAUUUACCAUUUCAGUACUAUGAGAAUCAAGUCUUUGGGUCUUGGGGGAGUAUGUCCGCAGACUGAACUUAAGAAUGACGAGGACCACAGGAUGGAGCUGCGCUUAUUGACUCACACGGGACUACAGUCGACAUAGAAGAUGCGAUGAGCUUUCUGAUCUGGGGGGGGCAGGCGUCUAUGGGAGAUGCGUAUCGAACACAGACCUACCGCAUGCGCUC
Molecule: ribosomal RNA, 803 nt
Filed under: uncultured rumen protozoa
Lineage: Eukaryota
Description: bacterial SSU rRNA
Rfam family: Eukaryotic small subunit ribosomal RNA
Source: RNAcentral